GGUUAAGCGACUAAGCGUACACGGUGGAUGCCCUGGCAGUCAGAGGCGAUGAAGGACGUGCUAAUCUGCGAUAAGCGUCGGUAAGGUGAUAUGAACCGUUAUAACCGGCGAUUUCCGAAUGGGGAAACCCAGUGUGAUUCGUCACACUAUCAUUAACUGAAUCCAUAGGUUAAUGAGGCGAACCGGGGGAACUGAAACAUCUAAGUACCCCGAGGAAAAGAAAUCAACCGAGAUUCCCCCAGUAGCGGCGAGCGAACGGGGAGCAGCCCAGAGCCUGAAUCAGUGUGUGUGUUAGUGGAAGCGUCUGGAAAGGCGCGCGAUACAGGGUGACAGCCCCGUACACAAAAAUGCACAUGCUGUGAGCUCGAUGAGUAGGGCGGGACACGUGGUAUCCUGUCUGAAUAUGGGGGGACCAUCCUCCAAGGCUAAAUACUCCUGACUGACCGAUAGUGAACCAGUACCGUGAGGGAAAGGCGAAAAGAACCCCGGCGAGGGGAGUGAAAAAGAACCUGAAACCGUGUACGUACAAGCAGUGGGAGCACGCUUAGGCGUGUGACUGCGUACCUUUUGUAUAAUGGGUCAGCGACUUAUAUUCUGUAGCAAGGUUAACCGAAUAGGGGAGCCGAAGGGAAACCGAGUCUUAACUGGGCGUUAAGUUGCAGGGUAUAGACCCGAAACCCGGUGAUCUAGCCAUGGGCAGGUUGAAGGUUGGGUAACACUAACUGGAGGACCGAACCGACUAAUGUUGAAAAAUUAGCGGAUGACUUGUGGCUGGGGGUGAAAGGCCAAUCAAACCGGGAGAUAGCUGGUUCUCCCCGAAAGCUAUUUAGGUAGCGCCUCGUGAAUUCAUCUCCGGGGGUAGAGCACUGUUUCGGCAAGGGGGUCAUCCCGACUUACCAACCCGAUGCAAACUGCGAAUACCGGAGAAUGUUAUCACGGGAGACACACGGCGGGUGCUAACGUCCGUCGUGAAGAGGGAAACAACCCAGACCGCCAGCUAAGGUCCCAAAGUCAUGGUUAAGUGGGAAACGAUGUGGGAAGGCCCAGACAGCCAGGAUGUUGGCUUAGAAGCAGCCAUCAUUUAAAGAAAGCGUAAUAGCUCACUGGUCGAGUCGGCCUGCGCGGAAGAUGUAACGGGGCUAAACCAUGCACCGAAGCUGCGGCAGCGACGCUUAUGCGUUGUUGGGUAGGGGAGCGUUCUGUAAGCCUGCGAAGGUGUGCUGUGAGGCAUGCUGGAGGUAUCAGAAGUGCGAAUGCUGACAUAAGUAACGAUAAAGCGGGUGAAAAGCCCGCUCGCCGGAAGACCAAGGGUUCCUGUCCAACGUUAAUCGGGGCAGGGUGAGUCGACCCCUAAGGCGAGGCCGAAAGGCGUAGUCGAUGGGAAACAGGUUAAUAUUCCUGUACUUGGUGUUACUGCGAAGGGGGGACGGAGAAGGCUAUGUUGGCCGGGCGACGGUUGUCCCGGUUUAAGCGUGUAGGCUGGUUUUCCAGGCAAAUCCGGAAAACUAAGGCUGAGGCGUGAUGACGAGGCACUACGGUGCUGAAGCAACAAAUGCCCUGCUUCCAGGAAAAGCCUCUAAGCAUCAGGUAACAUCAAAUCGUACCCCAAACCGACACAGGUGGUCAGGUAGAGAAUACCAAGGCGCUUGAGAGAACUCGGGUGAAGGAACUAGGCAAAAUGGUGCCGUAACUUCGGGAGAAGGCACGCUGAUAUGUAGGUGAAGUCCCUCGCGGAUGGAGCUGAAAUCAGUCGAAGAUACCAGCUGGCUGCAACUGUUUAUUAAAAACACAGCACUGUGCAAACACGAAAGUGGACGUAUACGGUGUGACGCCUGCCCGGUGCCGGAAGGUUAAUUGAUGGGGUCAGCGCAAGCGAAGCUCUUGAUCGAAGCCCCGGUAAACGGCGGCCGUAACUAUAACGGUCCUAAGGUAGCGAAAUUCCUUGUCGGGUAAGUUCCGACCUGCACGAAUGGCGUAAUGAUGGCCAGGCUGUCUCCACCCGAGACUCAGUGAAAUUGAACUCGCUGUGAAGAUGCAGUGUACCCGCGGCAAGACGGAAAGACCCCGUGAACCUUUACUAUAGCUUGACACUGAACAUUGAGCCUUGAUGUGUAGGAUAGGUGGGAGGCUUUGAAGUGUGGACGCCAGUCUGCAUGGAGCCGACCUUGAAAUACCACCCUUUAAUGUUUGAUGUUCUAACGUUGACCCGUAAUCCGGGUUGCGGACAGUGUCUGGUGGGUAGUUUGACUGGGGCGGUCUCCUCCUAAAGAGUAACGGAGGAGCACGAAGGUUGGCUAAUCCUGGUCGGACAUCAGGAGGUUAGUGCAAUGGCAUAAGCCAGCUUGACUGCGAGCGUGACGGCGCGAGCAGGUGCGAAAGCAGGUCAUAGUGAUCCGGUGGUUCUGAAUGGAAGGGCCAUCGCUCAACGGAUAAAAGGUACUCCGGGGAUAACAGGCUGAUACCGCCCAAGAGUUCAUAUCGACGGCGGUGUUUGGCACCUCGAUGUCGGCUCAUCACAUCCUGGGGCUGAAGUAGGUCCCAAGGGUAUGGCUGUUCGCCAUUUAAAGUGGUACGCGAGCUGGGUUUAGAACGUCGUGAGACAGUUCGGUCCCUAUCUGCCGUGGGCGCUGGAGAACUGAGGGGGGCUGCUCCUAGUACGAGAGGACCGGAGUGGACGCAUCACUGGUGUUCGGGUUGUCAUGCCAAUGGCACUGCCCGGUAGCUAAAUGCGGAAGAGAUAAGUGCUGAAAGCAUCUAAGCACGAAACUUGCCCCGAGAUGAGUUCUCCCUGACUCCUUGAGAGUCCUGAAGGAACGUUGAAGACGACGACGUUGAUAGGCCGGGUGUGUAAGCGCAGCGAUGCGUUGAGCUAACCGGUACUAAUGAACCGUGAGGCUUAACCUU
RNAcentral lists this ribosomal RNA (2904 nucleotides) under Escherichia coli. Its description in RNAcentral is "23S ribosomal RNA". It matches the Rfam family "Bacterial large subunit ribosomal RNA". The record is from RNAcentral. Lineage: Bacteria; Pseudomonadati; Pseudomonadota; Gammaproteobacteria; Enterobacterales; Enterobacteriaceae.